AGUGAACGCUGGCGGUAGGCCUAACACAUGCAAGUCGAACGGCAGCACAGUAAGAGCUUGCUCUUACGGGUGGCGAGUGGCGGACGGGUGAGGAAUGCAUCGGAAUCUACUUUUUCGUGGGGGAUAACGUAGGGAAACUUACGCUAAUACCGCAUACGACCUACGGGUGAAAGCAGGGGAUCUUCGGACCUUGCGCGAUUGAACGAGCCGAUGUCGGAUUAGCUAGUUGGCGGGGUAAAGGCCCACCAAGGCGACGAUCCGUAGCUGGUCUGAGAGGAUGAUCAGCCACACUGGAACUGAGACACGGUCCAGACUCCUACGGGAGGCAGCAGUGGGGAAUAUUGGACAAUGGGCGCAAGCCUGAUCCAGCCAUACCGCGUGGGUGAAGAAGGCCUUCGGGUUGUAAAGCCCUUUUGUUGGGAAAGAAAAGCAGCAGGUUAAUACCCCGCUGUUCUGACGGUACCCAAAGAAUAAGCACCGGCUAACUUCGUG
This 492-nucleotide ribosomal RNA is filed under the name uncultured bacterium. RNAcentral describes it as "partial 16S ribosomal RNA". It matches the Rfam family "Bacterial small subunit ribosomal RNA", at positions 29 to 507 of the family's 1533-position model. The record is from RNAcentral.